AGAGUUUGAUCAUGGCUCAGAUUGAACGCUGGCGGCAGGCUUAACACAUGCAAGUCGAACGGUAACAGGAAGGAAGCUUGCUUUCUUUGCUGACGAGUGGCGGACGGGUGAGUAAUGCUUGGGAAUCUGGCUCAUGGAGGGGGAUAACUACGGGAAACUGUAGCUAAUACCGCGUAAUAUCUUCGGAUUAAAGGGUGGGACCGUAAGGCCACCUGCCAUAAGAUGAGCCCAAGUGGGAUUAGGUAGUUGGUGGGGUAAAGGCCUACCAAGCCGACGAUCUCUAGCUGGUCUGAGAGGAUGACCAGCCACACUGGAACUGAGACACGGUCCAGACUCCUACGGGAGGCAGCAGUGGGGAAUAUUGCACAAUGGGGGGAACCCUGAUGCAGCCAUGCCGCGUGAAUGAAGAAGGCCUUCGGGUUGUAAAGUUCUUUCGGUGAUGAGGAAGGCGGUUGUUUUAAUAGAACAAUCGAUUGACGUUAGUCACAGAAGAAGCACCGGCUAACUCCGUGCCAGCAGCCGCGGUAAUACGGAGGGUGCGAGCGUUAAUCGGAAUGACUGGGCGUAAAGGGCACGCAGGCGGUGACUUAAGUGAGAUGUGAAAGCCCCGGGCUUAACCUGGGAAUUGCAUUUCAUACUGGGUCGCUAGAGUAUUUUAGGGAGGGGUAGAAUUCCACGUGUAGCGGUGAAAUGCGUAGAGAUGUGGAGGAAUACCGAAGGCGAAGGCAGCCCCUUGGGAAUAUACUGACGCUCAUGUGCGAAAGCGUGGGGAGCAAACAGGAUUAGAUACCCU
This 793-nucleotide ribosomal RNA is filed under the name uncultured bacterium. RNAcentral's name for it is "bacterial SSU rRNA". It matches the Rfam family "Bacterial small subunit ribosomal RNA", at positions 8 to 788 of the family's 1533-position model. The record is from RNAcentral.